UACCUUCUAAAGGCAACAAGCAAGGAGUGGGAGACAAUGUGUCUUUUUUUUUUUAAAGCCUUUUAUUAAGAAAAAGAAAAUAGGUAACUUAUUUGCAAAAAAAAAAAAAAAAAAUAGUAGGGGGGGUCCAGAUCUCAAUAGUUUUUGUUAUGCACAGCCGGGGUCUCCUGGGCCCUUUAGGCUCCCCAAGGCUGUUAGGUGAGGAUCUGGCUUUCCAGCACCAAAAAAAUCACUGGGCUAGCCUAACCACAUCAGCAGAGCCACUUCUGAGUGGACUCGGCUUUCACCCGAACUUGUGCCCUGCCCCAAUAUACUGUAAAUAGCUGGAGCAGGCGCGAUGCCUGGAGACCUUCCCAGGAGCUCUCACCUCUCUAUUUGGCCACUUCUGUGCCCUCAAGCCCACCAUAAAGCCUCUCUCUGGACCAGCUGUCGCCCCCAAUACCACCAAGGUCCCUUUUUGCUUUGGUCCAGGACAGUAUGUUGUCUAAGAAGCCACGGCAUCCUGCAAAACCUUGGCUCAGCCCUCCACUCUUCAAGAUGAGACCCUGAGGGAUCCUGUUGAAGGCAUAGCAAUCACAAGCUCCCCUCAAUGGAACCCCUGAAUGCUCUCAACACCCUCCCCAGGCUAUGCAGAUGGCAGAAGCAGAGCCUGGCUAGACUCUGGCAGCUGCUUGGCCACCCUGGACCCGUUUAACCUGAGCUCCUGCCUGGUCCCAUGAACUGCUAUGGAUGUCAGGACCUACCAAGUGGCCGGUGAGAUUAUCUUGCUCUGUGCCCAUGUGACCACAGAUGCUCUGGUCUGGACCCAUGUUUCUGUUGCUCUCUGGAGCUGGCAGGGCACUUUACCAUGGCAGCUUGACAGCUUGACACAGGGCAAACUGGGCAGGGUGAUCACUUCAGUAGGGCAGCAAAUAGGCUGUGUGCAAGGACCUACAGGAGAUGGCAAAGCUGCCCCUUUUCACUGGAGGGGAAAACAGACCUAGGACAUCCACAUGUCUGGGCCCAAGAGAGCCCUGGGAUGGGGCAGAAAGGCAGGCACUGACCGGGCAUCUUGCACCGAGUCUUCCUGGCUUAUCCCAUGCUCUAAUACACUCCCCGAGGAAGGGGCUGAGGAAUGCUGAUAGCUUGGGAGGCCUUAGUAUCGGAGUCUUCUUAGGGAGACAACAGAAGUCCCAGCACUGAUGAAAAAUAAGUUUCUUCCAUAUCUCUAACCCAUAUCUACUACUGGGGGCUAGGAGGGUUUCAAAAGGGCUGGGGGUGCCCGGGAGAUUGCAUGCUCCCUAGCCAGAAGUCUCUAAUUCAUAGCUCCCCUUGGCUUCUUUACCCCAUGGCUAGAUCCCCCCUUUCCAGACUGCUUUGGCCUCAAAGACACACCUGAGUGAACUCACGGGUACCCAACUUGUGGGUGUGACCCAUUGGAUGUCAGGGUUCUUUCCCAAACCAAACCCAUUCCCACCUCUAAACUCCUGGACUUGAGCUGGGCUGCAAGCUUAGCUGUGUCUACUCUCACUCCUCAGACAGCUGUUCUAGGAGGGGGGAUGAAUAGGGGCCUCUGUAGCUUCCUGGGAGUCCCCCUGCCUACAGCCAGCCAGGGCAGCAGAGCUCAUGAAAGGGUUGGGAGGGCUGUCCUAUGCAAAUUGCUCGAAUCGGCAAACAAUUCGGGUGGUGCUGAGCUUGGCAUGGCCACUGGUGUGUCGUGGGUUAGGGCUGGGGAAUUGAGAAUAGUUUUCUGGGUUUGAUUUUAGAAAACCCAAGAAGGUUCUUGGAAGUGUGCAUAUGUUUGGUAGGCAUGGUAGCCAAGAACUCUCCUGAAGUCCCAAGGCUUUCUUAAAAAGCCUGGGAUGAGAGGUACCAAAUCCAUCAGUUACCUGGAGGCAUGGCUCACCUGCCUCCAUCUCCUCCUCCCCACUCCCAAGGCCUCUGUCACUGCCAGGCCCCUGCAGGAACAUCCACGGGGUUUCCUAAAAGCUGAACAGCUUGUCCCUUUCACCCUGCACCCCAGCAGCCCCUAGGGCUGGAGGAAAAUAGGGUCUUACACAUCCCCAGACCCAUCUUGGAACUCUGUUCCCAGGCCAACAAGUUAGCAUUAGCCAAGCAUACAGUCAGUGUCAAAUGUUUCUCUUCUGUAGCUCGUAGAUACAACGCGUCUGUGGUCAGGGCCCAGCCAAGCUAGGCCAGUGGCCAGCUCUGUGCAGUACAAGGCUGUGGUUUGGCUCCUUUAAGGAGAAACGUACAUGGCUUGGAAGAACACCUGGCCAUGGUCAGCCUUGGUCACACCUGACUCCCGGCCAGUGGCUUCUCUCUCUCAUGUCUUUCAGCAAAUCCAUAAUGCUGGGUCUCCUGCCACCAAAGUGUCAGAGUAAUGGCCAAAAGUCAGGCCCUCAGAGAUGCCUCAGUUUCCCCAUAGUGAGUAUGUGGUCUGUUGAGAUGACACCUCUGUGCUCUCUAAGGUAAACGGGAGGGGAAGUCUCUAUUUCUACCCACACUGAAAGGCAAAACCAAAAACUCACAGCAGAAUCACCCAGCACAGAGCACCAGGUGUGGUAGUACAUAGACCACAUACCUAGCAGGCUCUGCCACACCAGUCGGCUGGUGGAAACCACCUCCGUAUACACCGGGGACGCAUCUUGCUUUUCCUUCCUCUCCUGUUCUCCAUUCUGAUUUAUUUUCUGCAUGUUUAUUUUUGAAAAUGGACAAAUGUGCAGCAGCCCGCAUGACCGUGGUUGUUUCGGGAAAGAUACCGGAGUCUGACGUGUUCACACUGCAGCUCUGAGCGCCAUGCGGUGAGACAGACGUUCCGACUUUUUUUGUAAUCGUCAACAGCACAAAUAUUUUGUAUUGUCGUUUGUAUCAUUUUGUACCUAAAAAAAAAGGAAAAAAAAAAACAAAACAAAAACAAAACAAAAACAAAAAGGGAAGAGAGUUGAUGUUUUCAAUGUGUUUUUAGUGCCAGGCAGUCUUGGUUCCGAAGGGAACAGCAGCUUUGCGGAAUUGUCGUGUCCAGGAGUGGAGUCAGGCGUUAGCACGCUGCUCCAAAGGAGUAAAUAAAGUCCCCUUUGAAGU
This 3063-nucleotide long non-coding RNA is filed under the name Mus musculus (house mouse). RNAcentral describes it as "long non-coding RNA chr2:179896309-179899372". Lineage: Eukaryota; Metazoa; Chordata; Mammalia; Rodentia; Muridae. The record is from RNAcentral.